GUAGGUGGCAAGCGUUGUCCGGAAUUAUUGGGCGUAAAGCGCGCGCAGGCGGUUCUUUAAGUCUGAUGUGAAAGCCCACGGCUCAACCGUGGAGGGUCAUUGGAAACUGGAGAACUUGAGUACAGAAGAGGAAAGCGGAAUUCCACGUGUAGCGGAGAAAUGCGUAGAGAUGUGGAGGAACACCAGUGGCGAAGGCGGCUUUCUGGUCUGUAACUGACGCUGAGGCGCGAAAGCGUGGGGAGCAAACAGGAUUAGAUACCCUGGUAGUCCACGCCGUAAACGAUGAGUGCUAAGUGUUAGGGGGGUUUCCGCCCCCCUUAGUGCUGCAGCUAACGCAUUAAGCACUCCGCCUGGGAGUACGGCCGCAAGGCUG
This 373-nucleotide ribosomal RNA is filed under the name uncultured organism. Its description in RNAcentral is "partial 16S ribosomal RNA". It matches the Rfam family "Bacterial small subunit ribosomal RNA", at positions 527 to 896 of the family's 1533-position model. The record is from RNAcentral.